GUAGUCUGCAACCCGACUACAUGAAGCUGGAAUCGCUAGUAAUCGCGGAUCAGAAUGCCGCGGUGAAUACGUUCCCGGGUCUUGUACACACCGCCCGUCACACCAUGGGAGUCGGAAAUGCCCGAAGUCUGUGACCUAACCGCAAGGGAGGAGCAGCCGAAGGCAGGUCGGAUGACUGGGGUGAAGUCGUAACAAGGUAAC
Molecule: ribosomal RNA, 201 nt
Filed under: uncultured bacterium
Lineage: Bacteria
Description: partial 16S ribosomal RNA
Rfam family: Bacterial small subunit ribosomal RNA
Source: RNAcentral